UUUUGGUCGGGUUCACCCGGUAUUUCAUGUUUCCAGGGUCAAGCCGGUGUUCUCUUCCCCCCUUAAUCCUGCUUGUAGUCGGCCCACCCCCCCGCCCCCUCGUCUUGUGGAUGGAUCUCCCACCUAUACGGUUAAGAGAUUACUCGAUGAGCGGCGCCGCGGCAGGGGGUUUCAGUAUCUUGUGGACUGGGAGGGGUAUGGCCCAGAGGAGAGGUGCUGGGUGCCGUCCCGGGACAUUCUGGACCGCUCGUUGAUUGAGGACUUCCGGCGACAUCGAGGCUCCAGUGUGUUUAGCUGUUUUCUCUGCCCCCUGUUCCCCAGCGCAGAGCUCUUGGAAGCUUCAGUGUCAUCCCUCCGGUCUCAGUGGUCGUACAAAUAACUGUGGAACGUUACUCAUCGGUUUGAUUCAUCUGCUUCGACUAUUCUUCCAGUCACUACGAGUAAUCCUGUGAACGUGACUCAUCUGAUCUGCCUCCUCUGCUUUAAAUAAAGCCUUGCGUAAACCCGCA
This is a long non-coding RNA of Carassius gibelio (silver crucian carp), 509 nucleotides long. RefSeq lists it as uncharacterized. The record is from RefSeq and is a predicted model, not a curated record. The transcript is spliced from 2 exons. Lineage: Eukaryota; Metazoa; Chordata; Actinopteri; Cypriniformes; Cyprinidae.